Long non-coding RNA from Myotis davidii, 134 nucleotides. RefSeq lists it as uncharacterized. The transcript has 3 exons. Lineage: Eukaryota; Metazoa; Chordata; Mammalia; Chiroptera; Vespertilionidae. The record is from RefSeq and is a predicted model, not a curated record.
UAGGGAACGUUGUGGAGUGAAAGAAGGUGUAGUGUCGAGGAUUGAGAAAGGUUAUGUUGAGAUGGUUUGGACAUAUAGAGGACGAACGAAAGGAGAUAGACAAAACAAGUAUACAAGAUGAGUGUGGAUGGGAG